This 399-nucleotide ribosomal RNA is filed under the name uncultured bacterium. RNAcentral's name for it is "bacterial SSU rRNA". It matches the Rfam family "Bacterial small subunit ribosomal RNA", at positions 358 to 771 of the family's 1533-position model. The record is from RNAcentral.
GGAAUCGUGCACAAUGGACGCAAGUCUGAUGCCGCGACGCCGCGUGAUGGAUGAAGGUCUUCGGAUCGUAAACAUCUUUUUAGGGGGAACAAAUUUUGAGUGUACCCCUAGAAUAAGUGCCUGCUAACCACGUGCCAGAAGCAUCGGUAAUACGUGGGGCACAAGCGUUAUCCGGAUUUACUGGGCGUAAAGAGAUGCGUAGGCGUCUUUACAAGUUUGGUGUUAAAUCUCAAUGCUCAACAUUGAAACUGCAUCAAAAACUGUAAGGAUUGAGUUUGGUAGAGAGGAAGGGAAUUCCUGGUGGAGCGGUUAAAUGCGUUGAUAUCAGGAGGAACACCAACGGCGAAGGCACUUCCUUGGACCAAUACUGACGCUAAGGCUCGAAAGUGUGGGGAGCAA